UGUAAGAAGAAAGGCUUUGAGAUAUAAUUCCCGGUAGGUAUUACAAAGAUUGCUCAAUACCUAGGAUUCUACUACAAGAAAGUUAUAAAAAGGAUUUUGUAAGUAAGGCAGAGGUAGGGAGGAAUAAGUGAUGGACGACCUUCUUGCUCCUUUGAUGCCUUCAGGGUUUUGUAAGAAGAAAGGCUUUGGAUGUUUUCUUCGGAUUUUUUAACUUCUCAAGUAUUUUGGAUGCCAAAAGGAUGCCUUCUGAAUGCAUGAGAGCUCUCUUUUAUAGAAGUAGCCUGGGGCAUACUUCAUAAUUUUGUAGAUUUUAAACAGUGUCUGCUACUUGAUGUCUUCACGUGUGAAUAGUGCUUUUUGUCUUCUUCACAUGCGAACAGUACAAAAGUGACAGGUAAACAGUGUCCUGUCAGGUUUUGAAAUAAAGGAAAAGUAAAAACAGAAAAAGUAAAAGAAUAUUACAAAAGUAAGAAGCAAAAAUAAAGUGAAAAGUUUAAACAAAGAAAAGCAAAGAAGAAUAAUUUGUUGCCGCCAUGAAUUUCUUUUGUCGAUCUUCUUUUUUUUUUUUUACAAGAGAUUUUGUAUCUGUGAAGAGAUACUACAACCUUCUUCAUUAUCAUCUGCCAAAUUGAUUAUGGGUUCUGAAUUAGAAUCGGCUGCAGAGAAAUUAAUUCUGUUUUGCAAUAACUGUUACAUUAUUGCAAAAUAUUCAUCAUUUUUUGCUCCUGGUAGUCUUGCCAUGGCAUGUGAUCGUUGGGCCAAAAAUAAUUGUUUGAAAGGUUUUGUACAGGAGUUGAUAGCAAAAGAUUUUUUUUCUUAAGCCAGUCUUUUAUUUCUUAGUUUGUAAUUGCUUCUGGGACAUUAAAAUGAGUCCCACCAUAUUACUUUGAACCUUCUGAUGAUGGUGCUCAAUCCAUCUUGGGGCUUCGUAAUUCUAAGAACCAGAUCAAGAUCCAAGCUAGAAAGAAUUUUGAACAGAAUAAGAGAAGAGGUAGAAACCUUUUCUCUUUGGAUGAGGGUUUGUAAUGAGUUUUAAGCUCUCUGAGACUUCUGGUGUAAGGAUUUCAGGUAAAGCACCAAAAUACUUCCACCAUUAAGUAGAUCAUGAAAGGGGUUUCGGAAGAAUCAAAUAAUUUUUGGAAAUAGAAUAGCCAAGAAUGACUAUUUUUAUGGUAUUGUAUGAGAAAUAUAUUAUACCAUACCUAUUGGUAGUUCCAAUAAUUGAAAUGUUGGCAAUUGUCAAUCCUGUUUUGGAAUGAAAAAGGAAAAACUUUUU
This 1276-nucleotide unclassified non-coding RNA is filed under the name Hevea brasiliensis (rubber tree). The record is from RNAcentral. Lineage: Eukaryota; Viridiplantae; Streptophyta; Magnoliopsida; Malpighiales; Euphorbiaceae.